CAGUAGCCGCGGGAACACGAAGGGUGCAAGCGUUAAUCGGAAUUACUGGGCGUAAAGCGUGCGUAGGCGGUUUGUUAAGUCUGUUGUGAAAUCCCCGGGCUCAACCUGGGAAUGGCAAUGGAUACUGGCAAGCUAGAGUGUGUCAGAGGAUGGUGGAAUUCCCGGUGUAGCGGUGAAAUGCGUAGAGAUCGGGAGGAACAUCAGUGGCGAAGGCGGCCAUCUGGGACAACACUGACGCUGAGGCACGAAAGCGUGGGGAGCAAACAGGAUUAGAUACCCGCGUAGUCCCUGUCUCUUAUAC
RNAcentral lists this ribosomal RNA (301 nucleotides) under uncultured bacterium. RNAcentral describes it as "partial 16S ribosomal RNA". It matches the Rfam family "Bacterial small subunit ribosomal RNA", at positions 509 to 807 of the family's 1533-position model. The record is from RNAcentral.